UGGGGUGUCGCCAAGUGGUAAGGCAGCGGUUUUUGGUACCGUCAUUCGGUGGUUCGAAUCCAUCCACCCCAG
Molecule: transfer RNA, 72 nt
Filed under: Candidatus Midichloria mitochondrii IricVA
Lineage: Bacteria; Pseudomonadati; Pseudomonadota; Alphaproteobacteria; Rickettsiales; Candidatus Midichloriaceae
Rfam family: tRNA
About the family: Transfer RNA (tRNA) molecules are approximately 80 nucleotides in length. Their secondary structure includes four short double-helical elements and three loops (D, anti-codon, and T loops).
Source: Rfam by way of RNAcentral